UAUACUACUUGAUAUACUACUUGAUAUAAUGUGUAUGGAAAUGACGUUGCAGAUGAUAACAUGCAUGAUGCAUAAAUCAAUAAUGAUUCUGACAAUCAUCAGGGUGAAAAAAUAAUGAUCAUGAUGAUAAAAAUGGCAAAAGAAGAAAUUAUUGCAAAAAUUGUUCCCUCAACGUUCUACUUUUGCAAUAUCAACCAAUUUCAAUAAUGAAAAACUGUUGUCACUUUCAUAAAAAUAACUGCUUGAAUAUGAAAAACUAUUAAUUGAUCAACUGUGACAUUGUGAUCGUUUUUAAGUACAUGUGAGCUUAUAUGUAUUUGAAAUGAGUAAACAUCGGUAUAUGACAUUUUUGUCAUAUAUUUUUUUUUGCAUGUUUGUCACAAUAAUGAGGUAGUAUUUAAUUAGUAUUAGGAGGUUUUGGAUAGUAUUGGAUCAGUCAUCCUGCCCAUAAUAAUGAGGUAGUAUUUAAUUAGUAUUUGGUGGUUUGGGGUAGUACUGGAUCAGUCAUCCUGCCCACAAUAAUGAGGUAGUAUUUAAUUAGUAUUGGGUAAAUCGUCCUGCCCAUAGAUUGUUAUCACAAUUGUUAUUCUUUAACCAAAGAAGAAAUUUCGAUAAUAACACCUAUUUAAAUAGCCAAAAGGGGCUAUUUCAUUAAUAAAUAAUUAUUAUUGUUAUUGUGUAUUGCCAUGUAUAAUGUUAUUCAUCAUUGUAUUGCCAUGUAUACUAUAAUGUUAUUCAUCAUUACUAUAUUGGGCCAUUUCAUGAUCAUUUUGUUAAGCCCAACAUUCAUUCAGUAGGGUCGUUAAAAAAGUAUGAACAUUAGUGUUAUUUUGCUCUUAUUUUUUUGAAAAAAUUUUCACAAGUUGAUUUCCUUUAUUUUGUAGAAUGGUAAUGAACUGCGCUUUUCAUUUUCUUUGUUUUAUUUGUUUCGUUUGAAUUUGAUUUAUCUGUUUAGUUUUUGAUUGUUUAAUUUUUGUUAAUGAAGUUGAUUCUUUUAAACUUCGUUUUUAUUUUUGAACUCUACUUGGUGUAGGUGUUCAUCAGGUAAUACCUCGACUGAGUUCAAUAUAGAGAUUAGCCGGUUGAUUUGUUGAUAUAAACCUUUGAAUAAUAGCGCCUAACAGGCAGCUGUGUUUAAUUAUGUUCUCCUGAUUUUGAUUGUUUCUGUGUGUUUGAAGUAUAUGUUUGUGAUAUGCGCUUAGAAACACUUCACGUGUAAUGAAGCGCUAUAUAAAUCGAACAAUAAUAAUAAUAAUAAUAAUAAUGCAAAUACUUGAUAUUUUACUAGAUAUAUUAUUUGAUAUAUUUUACUUUAUAUAAUACUUGAUAUAAUACUUGAUAUAUAACUUGAUAUAUUACUUAUAAUUGGUAUAUUACAUUACAUAAUACUGUUCUUAAUAAAUACUUUGUAUAAUAUUUUAGAUAUUGCACAUGUGCAUUACAAUUACUUUAUAUGAUACACAUACUGUGCAUACUAAAUACUCUAUAUCAUAAAUAAUUUAUAUAAUACAUGACAUGUAUAUAUGAAGCAAUAGCUGCUGUCACUCGGUAAAGUUUAUGGAAGUAACAGGGACUUCCACAGUUCGCUAUAUAAGUAACAUUGACUUCCACAACUCGCUAGAGUUCAUAAAAGCAAUUCUUUGAUAAUUAUUUCAGACCAAUGGACUAGAGAUGUCAUCGUAUUGUUGUGAGGUAAUGGGGCUAUAUAUUUUCGACACAUAUCUGAACAGUACGACAAACUGGUUUUUAUAUAGCUAUUCAAUUAUUUAGUUCCUAUAGACAACUACAGAUCACAAUACCUGGAAUCUAUAACACAAAUACUUGGUCAAAUUUUUUCCCUAAAACAACGUAUGUUCUUGAUCCCGUUAAUCCUUUCUCCGACACAUCUUCAUCUGAUGUCAACAUUAUAGAAAUAUGUGCUGAGGUCACUUUAGAUUUGUUACGAAAUGUACCAAUGGAAUCCAAGAGUUAUGAUUUGUUAUCUAUAGUCAGAGUGUUAGUUGAUGUCGCUGCUGUUAUUAUACUACUUGCACUCAACGCAGCUACACAAAACUGAUUUAUAUAAAAUGUUUAAUUCUUUUCUCACAUUCUGUACUAAAU
Long non-coding RNA from Patella vulgata (common limpet), 2100 nucleotides. RefSeq lists it as uncharacterized. The record is from RefSeq and is a predicted model, not a curated record. NCBI's taxonomy places the organism in Eukaryota, Metazoa, Mollusca, Gastropoda, Patellidae. The transcript is spliced from 3 exons.